CCUAACCUCAUCUGUUUCAACCUAUCCACCCGUCGCUCCCACCCUCCACCAUCUGCCUCCCUCUCGUUCCAUUUCACUCGCCGCCGCCCCAUCUCACGCCAUCCUGGCCGGUGCCUUCCAUCCACUCCAUCCCUCGGGCACAGGGACGAGGAGGCUCACCAUAGCUUGACGAGGAGGUCAAGGGCGACGCCAACCCUAGGUCUUGGUGGAUCCAUCCCUUUGACCUUCGGAGACUGGCAUGCUGCACUCGGAGGCCAAGCGCGGCGCCCCACCUAAAAUAAUCAGCCAAUCGGGCCCUCGACAAGGAUGAUGCAGAGGACGACGCCAUCCCCAGGUGCGAGGCUUCUACCAGCACACCAAGAAGAGGGGAGCAGGCCCAAGAUCCUCGCAUCUAGAAGAAGAUCCAGUGGAUUGUAGGUUUUACUAGCUCCCAGUUUUGCUAAUGGCAGUGAGGAUCAGUCUUUGAAGAUAUGGAAACGAUUUGGUAUUCUAAAUUCAAGGGCAUUUCUCAUGUCAAACUUGUACAUAUAUUCUCUCAUCAACGCAUGAAACCUGACUAAGUUAUGGCUGAUCUGUUCUACAAAUUGUCUUGUCUAAAGAAAUUUAAACUUGUGGCUAACUACUAAAUGUUUAAGCACUUUUUAUACAAAUGAUUGCUAUUGAAAUGGAUGACUUGCCAAGAUUAUUCUCUAGUAGUUUAACUGAAGAAUUCAUUUGUCAUGUGUAUAUGUUCAGACAUUGGACUUUUGUUUGUUUUACUAUAUCACUAAGUACCAUCAAGUCUUACAUGCUUGUGAGCAAGCCAUUUGUGCCAUUUAUUGCAUUGUGUUUUUAAUUGUGCCUUUGUUACCUAGCUGUUUAUUACAGCAGUCAUUUCACUUCAUAUUGGACUCUCCUUUACUAUUUUGUUUGUAAAACUCGUAGCAUGAAAAUUUCUGAGUUUAUUACUACUACUUUUUUUUCUGAAUUGACAUUUUUCUCAUCUCUCUUUUCCAGCAGCUUGUGCCCAUCUGUUCCUUCUAUCUCUCUUAUCUAUACAGCAGUGACAGUCGUUAGUGUUCAUGCUUUCCCUAGUUUCCAGAUAGCAGCAGCAGCCUAAGACAAGCAGGUCAGUCCAUUGGCAGUGAGCGGCAUUUAUUCUGGCAGUUGGCAGCCUUGAUUUUCAGAUCAACAACAGCUGUAGCUAUCAACUUUCUUGACUCUGAUCAGCUUUGCAACUACAGAGUUUGGUUUUGUUCUCAAAUUUGCAAAAAUUCAGCACAUUUACCAUUUACUUAUUCUUUUAGCUAUCAUUUUAGUUUAAAACCUUUAACUUCAGCUUAGUUCAUAACCUUUAGCUUAGCUGUUUGCUUGCCUUGGUUCAGUACAGUAGUGCAGUUCAGCAGCAAAGCAGCUAGGCACCUUUCAUCUUGAGUAAUUGUCCCUUUUCGUUAACUGUGGUCAUACAAGUUAUAGAAAAAGGUUUUCCAUUAGUUAACCGUGGUUUUUCUCCCUUUUGGUUGAUCCGUUGUAAUGUCCAAAAUGUCUAAUACUAACAUUCUGUAUUUUUAUGCAGGAUAAAUAAAUGCCACUCUGUUUGAUCGAAGGAUGAUGUAUAUUAAAGUUUACUAUUUUUGCUAUCAAGUAUAUUGUAUUUUUUGGCCUAUAAGUUUGUAAAUGUUGAAUUCAUUGUGUACAUCAACUCAUUAUUAUAUGAAUAAAUAAAUGUCUAUUUGUA
This is a long non-coding RNA of Sorghum bicolor (sorghum), 1717 nucleotides long. RefSeq lists it as uncharacterized. The record is from RefSeq and is a predicted model, not a curated record. The transcript has 4 exons. Lineage: Eukaryota; Viridiplantae; Streptophyta; Magnoliopsida; Poales; Poaceae.